GACCUGGUGGUCUAGGGGUGAUGACGUCCCGCUUACACCGGGAAGAUCGGGGGUUCGAUUCCCCCCCGGGUUA
Cylindrotheca closterium is the source of this 73-nucleotide non-coding RNA. The record is from the annotation of a GenBank genome assembly. Lineage: Eukaryota; Bacillariophyta; Bacillariophyceae; Bacillariales; Bacillariaceae.